GACGAACGCUGGCGGCGUGCUUAACACAUGCAAGUCGAACGGAAAGGCCCUGCUUUUGUGGGGUGCUCGAGUGGCGAACGGGUGAGUAACACGUGAGUAACCUGCCCUUGACUUUGGGAUAACUUCAGGAAACUGGGGCUAAUACCGGAUAGGAGCUCCUGCUGCAUGGUGGGGGUUGGAAAGUUUCGGCGGUUGGGGAUGGACUCGCGGCUUAUCCGCUUGUUGGUGGGGUAGUGGCUUACCAAGGCUUUGACGGGUAGCCGGCCUGAGAGGGUGACCGGCCACAUUGGGACUGAGAGACGGCCCAGACUCCUACGGGAGGCAGCAGUGGAGAAUAUUGCACAAUGGGCGGAAGCCUGAUGCAGCAACGCCGCGUGCGGGAUGACGGCCUUCGGGUUGUAAACCGCUUUCGCCUGUGACGAAGCGUGAGUGACGGUAAUGGGUAAAGAAGCACCGGCUAACUACGUG
RNAcentral lists this ribosomal RNA (468 nucleotides) under uncultured bacterium. Its description in RNAcentral is "partial 16S ribosomal RNA". It matches the Rfam family "Bacterial small subunit ribosomal RNA", at positions 28 to 507 of the family's 1533-position model. The record is from RNAcentral.